CCUACGGGAGGCAGCAGUGAGGAAUAUUGGUCAAUGGCCGUAAGGCUGAACCAGCCAAGUAGCGUGAGGGAAGACUGCCCUAUGGGUUGUAAACUUCUUUUAUGCGGGGAUAAAGGUGUCCACGUGUGGAUUUUUGUAUGUACCGCAUGAAUAAGGACCGGCUAAUUCCGUGCAAGCAGCCGCGGUAAUACGGAAGAUCCGGGCGUUAUCCGGAUUUAUUGGGUUUAAAGGGAGCGUAGGCGGGUCUUUAAGCGUGCAGUGAAAGUUUGUGGCUCAACCAUAAGAGUGCGACGGGAACUGGAGACCUUGAGUGCACGGAAGGCAGGCGGAAUUCGUGGUGUAGCGGUGAAAUGCUUAGAUAUCACGAAGAACCCCGAUUGCGAAGGCAGCCUGCCACAGCGUUACUGACGCUGAAGCUCGAAAGCGCGGGUAUCGAACAGGAUUAGAUACCCGAGUAGUC
RNAcentral lists this ribosomal RNA (460 nucleotides) under uncultured bacterium. RNAcentral's name for it is "partial 16S ribosomal RNA". It matches the Rfam family "Bacterial small subunit ribosomal RNA", at positions 338 to 795 of the family's 1533-position model. The record is from RNAcentral.